Molecule: long non-coding RNA, 242 nt
Organism: Cucurbita maxima (winter squash)
Lineage: Eukaryota; Viridiplantae; Streptophyta; Magnoliopsida; Cucurbitales; Cucurbitaceae
Exons: 3
Source: RefSeq, a predicted model, not a curated record
GAGUACCAGACAAGGUAAAAGAGAAGAGUUCGUGUAAUUUGUCGAUAUCAAAGAAAAUUAUCUCACAUUAACAAAGGGCUAAUGCAUCUAUCCUGCCUUGAUUCUCAUGGGCAUUACUAUGACGUCAUCAUCCGUGCAUAAAAUAUCAUAUCAUAUCAAGGUAUUAGGCUCAACUUUCAAUACGGGUAGAAUUGGAUGUGUAAUACUCCUAUAUACACGUGCAUGCACAUAGACCCCAAGUG